Molecule: ribosomal RNA, 428 nt
Filed under: uncultured Moraxellaceae bacterium
Lineage: Bacteria; Pseudomonadati; Pseudomonadota; Gammaproteobacteria; Moraxellales; Moraxellaceae
Description: bacterial SSU rRNA
Rfam family: Bacterial small subunit ribosomal RNA
Source: RNAcentral
UGGGGAAUAUUGGACAAUGGGCGCAAGCCUGAUCCAGCCAUGCCGCGUGUGUGAAGAAGGCCUUUUGGUUGUAAAGCACUUUAAGCGAGGAGGAGGCUUACCUGGUUAAUACCUGGGAUAAGUGGACGUUACUCGCAGAAUAAGCACCGGCUAACUCUGUGCCAGCAGCCGCGGUAAUACAGAGGGUGCGAGCGUUAAUCGGAAUUACUGGGCGUAAAGCGCGCGUAGGCGGUUUGUUAAGUCGGAUGUGAAAUCCCCGGGCUCAACCUGGGAAUUGCAUUCGAUACUGGCAAGCUAGAGUAUGGGAGAGGAAGGUAGAAUUCCAGGUGUAGCGGUGAAAUGCGUAGAGAUCUGGAGGAAUACCGAUGGCGAAGGCAGCCUUCUGGCCUAAUACUGACGCUGAGGUGCGAAAGCAUGGGGAGCAAACA